Molecule: non-coding RNA, 314 nt
Organism: Paramisgurnus dabryanus
Lineage: Eukaryota; Metazoa; Chordata; Actinopteri; Cypriniformes; Cobitidae
Source: RefSeq, a predicted model, not a curated record
GUUGGGAUCACCGGGGCCUCCAUCGCCAGGCAUGUACACGCUACAUCAGGUGUAGGUGAACAACAUCAGAGUGCGGCAGUCAGAGAUCCUAAAGAAGGACUCCAUAUGUUUAGUCGAGACAGUACGCCGUACAUCUCUUACGACGAGGAUAUUUGUUUCAGGACCGCUUUCCCGAUACUGACAAGGACAUUUAAGCAAUUAUGUGAGCUGCAGUCUGGAUCCUGCCUCUGUCAGAUGACCUAAAACAAAUAGAAAGAUGACAUCGACCCUUGCAAGGACUUCAGACGAUCCCAGCACUGGACUACAUACAGUGG